This 404-nucleotide ribosomal RNA is filed under the name Actinomycetes bacterium. RNAcentral describes it as "Actinobacteria bacterium partial 16S ribosomal RNA". It matches the Rfam family "Bacterial small subunit ribosomal RNA", at positions 355 to 776 of the family's 1533-position model. The record is from RNAcentral. Lineage: Bacteria; Bacillati; Actinomycetota; Actinomycetes.
AGGGGAAUAUUGGACAAUGGGCGCAAGCCUGAUCCAGCCAUGCCGCGUGGGUGAUGAAGGCCCUAGGGUUGGAAAGCUCUUUCACCGGUGAAGAUAAUGACGGUAACCGGAGAAGAAGCCCCGGCUAACUUCGUGCCAGCAGCCGCGGUAAUACGAAGGGGGCUAGCGUUGUUCGGAUUUACUGGGCGUAAAGCGCACGUAGGCGGACUUUUAAGUCAGGUGUGAAAUACCGGGGCUCAACCCCGGAACUGCCUUUGAUACUGGAAGUCUGGAGUAUGGUAGAGGUGAGUGGAAUUCCGGGUGUAGAGGUGAAAUUCGUAGAUAUUCGGAGGAACACCAGUGGCGAAGGAGGCUCACUGGACCAUUACUGACGCUGAGGUGCGAAAGCGUGGGGAGCAAACAGG